Peromyscus californicus insignis is the source of this 503-nucleotide long non-coding RNA. RefSeq lists it as uncharacterized. Lineage: Eukaryota; Metazoa; Chordata; Mammalia; Rodentia; Cricetidae. The record is from RefSeq and is a predicted model, not a curated record. The transcript is spliced from 3 exons.
CGAGUUAAUUACCAGGGAAAGUCAAGGAGAUAAGCAACGGUUUGUGGUGAGCCACGCCUUUGCUCGUCUGUGUCCAAGCCUGUGGUCUGUGACCCUAAGAUGAUCCGUUUCCUGGUUGGGGCACAGCACAAGAACUGAGGAUCUAGAAGGCGCCUCAAGUCCCAUCAGACACACUCAGGUAGUGAAGAAGCCGUCACCCCGGUCUGUCUGCACAAGACAGAAUUCGUACCAUCUUCCUUGACACAAACGAAUUCCCAGAAGAGCAUCCUUGAUCAGGAGAAAUGCUAAAUAAAACAUCAUAGGUUUGAUGAGGAGUUCUUCAAGCUGGCCACUGUGGUGUGAUCAAACAUUGUGGCAGACGUGAAGGAAAAUCCAGUCUUCAGUGUUUGUUUAGGUGUGGACCUCCCUGAGUAAGUCCCCUCCUCCCUCCCCACAAAGCAUACUUGUUAAUAGCCAGUCCUUACAUGUUCUGAGAAAUGUCUUUGAGAAAGACUUAUGAAGCA